Molecule: ribosomal RNA, 253 nt
Filed under: uncultured bacterium
Lineage: Bacteria
Description: partial 16S ribosomal RNA
Rfam family: Bacterial small subunit ribosomal RNA
Source: RNAcentral
UACGUAGGGGGCUAGCGUUGUCCGGAUUUAUUGGGCGUAAAGAGCGUGUAGGCGGCCAGGUAGGUCCGGUGUGAAAACUCGAGGCUCAACCUCGAGCCUGCAUUCGAUACUGGGCGGCUAGAGUCUGGUAGGGGGAUCUGGAAUUCCUGGUGUAGCGGUGGAAUGCGCAGAUAUCAGGAGGAACACCGGUGGCGAAGGCGGGAUCCUGGGCCAGUACUGACGCUGAGGAGCGAAAGCGUGGGGAGCAAACAGG